Molecule: ribosomal RNA, 387 nt
Filed under: uncultured bacterium
Lineage: Bacteria
Description: bacterial SSU rRNA
Rfam family: Bacterial small subunit ribosomal RNA
Source: RNAcentral
GACGAACGCUGGCGGCGUGCUUAACACAUGCAAGUCGAACGGGGCUUGCCCUUUGGGGUGGGUUUAGUGGCGAACGGGUGAGUAACACGUGGGUAAUCUGCCCUCAGCUCUGGGAUAACUCCGGGAAACCGGGGCUAAUACUGGAUAUGACUACUGGUGACAUCGCCUGGUGGUGGAAAGAUUUUUUGGCUGAGGAUGGGCCCGCGGCCUAUCAGCUUGUUGGUGGGGUAAUGGCCUACCAAGGCUUCGACGGGUAGCCGGCCUGAGAGGGCGACCGGCCACACUGGGACUGAGACACGGCCCAGACUCCUACGGGAGGCAGCAGUGGGGAAUCUUGCGCAAUGGGCGAAAGCCUGACGCAGCGACGCCGCGUGAGGGAUGACGCCU